This is a long non-coding RNA of Pogonomyrmex barbatus (red harvester ant), 271 nucleotides long. RefSeq lists it as uncharacterized. The record is from RefSeq and is a predicted model, not a curated record. Lineage: Eukaryota; Metazoa; Arthropoda; Insecta; Hymenoptera; Formicidae.
UAUUUAUAGUAUUUUUGCAGGUGUCGACAAUAUUAUAAACAACAUCCGUAAUGGCUGGAGAAAUACAAUGUAUCGUUUGAGAAACUGGCGUCAAUAUUUUCAAAGAAAUCGUCCUGAACCUCCUGUAAGACAUGACUUAAACGGUGGAAUAGAAAUUAUCGAACCCCAGUAAAUUAAUUAAUGAGAGGACAAAAAUUAUACAUACAGCGAUUAGUUACUAACUAAUCUAUAGUAUCGAUUUAAAAUGACAACCUGCAAAGUGAAUCCAAAA